CGGUUUCAAUUUGCUGGGGGCAGAUGAAGUGGAUGUGGGCGUCGAUGCCGCCGGCCGUGAGGAUUGAGCCUUCGCCGGCGAUCGCUUCGGUUGCCGGACCGAUGAUGAUAUCGACGUUGUCUUGAAUGUAAGGAUUGCCUGCUUUGCCGAUUUUGUGAAUCUUGCCGUCUUUGACUCCGAUGUCGGCUUUGACGAUGCCCCACCAGUCGAGGAUCAAGGCGUUGGUGAUAACCAAGUCGACGGCACCGUCCGCGCGGGAAAUCGGCGACUGUCCCAUGCCAUCG
This 284-nucleotide small RNA is filed under the name Rubidibacter lacunae KORDI 51-2. RNAcentral describes it as "5' ureB small RNA". It matches the Rfam family "5' ureB small RNA". The record is from Rfam by way of RNAcentral. Lineage: Bacteria; Bacillati; Cyanobacteriota; Cyanophyceae; Chroococcales; Aphanothecaceae.